This 564-nucleotide ribosomal RNA is filed under the name Micrococcus sp. HPC803. Its description in RNAcentral is "bacterial SSU rRNA". It matches the Rfam family "Bacterial small subunit ribosomal RNA", at positions 170 to 628 of the family's 1533-position model. Lineage: Bacteria; Bacillati; Actinomycetota; Actinomycetes; Micrococcales; Micrococcaceae. The record is from RNAcentral.
UCUGUCACCGACGGGGCACCGCCGGACCACCCUCGCCGCCGCGCCGCCCGACCCUGCCCGACGGGCCACCCUGGGUCUAAAAAAAUGGACAAGGUUUAACCAGGUAACCGUAAGGAAUCCGAGGUUUCCGUUCCUGUUUUAUGUUUUGUGUUGGAAAGAUUUUUCGGUCAUGGAUGGACUCCCGGCCUAUCAGCUUGUUGGUGAGGUAAUGGCUCACCAAGGCGACGACGGGUAGCCGGCCUGAGAGGGUGACCGGCCACUCUGGGACUGAGACACGGCCCAGACUCCUACGGGAGGCAGCAGUGGGGAAUAUUGCACAAUGGGCGAAAGCCUGAUGCAGCGACGCCGCGUGAGGGAUGACGGCCUUCGGGUUGUAAACCUCUUUCAGCAGGGAAGAAGCGAGAGUGACGGUACCUGCAGAAGAAGCACCGGCUAACUACGUGCCAGCAGCCGCGGUAAUACGUAGGGUGCGAGCGUUAUCCGGAAUUAUUGGGCGUAAAGAGCUCGUAGGCGGUUUGUCGCGUCUGUCGUGAAAGUCCGGGGCUUAACCCCGGAUCUGCGGUG